UUUCAAGGGCAUCAGUCUGAAAUUAUUAGCCAUGGAACAACUUUUGCAGCAGAAUCCUGAAUUUGGGGGAAAGGUGGUCAUGGUUCAAAUUUUAAAUCCUGCAAGGAGCUCAGGGAAAGAUGUACAAGAAGUAAAAAAGGAGACAUACUUGAUUACCAAAAGGAUAAACAGUAUUUUUGGUUUUCCAGGCUAUGAACCAGUGGUUCUGAUUGAUCGUUAUGUACCUUUUUAUGAGAAAACAG
This 242-nucleotide unclassified non-coding RNA is filed under the name Hevea brasiliensis (rubber tree). The record is from RNAcentral. Lineage: Eukaryota; Viridiplantae; Streptophyta; Magnoliopsida; Malpighiales; Euphorbiaceae.